Long non-coding RNA from Apis cerana (Asiatic honeybee), 2585 nucleotides. RefSeq lists it as uncharacterized. The record is from RefSeq and is a predicted model, not a curated record. NCBI's taxonomy places the organism in Eukaryota, Metazoa, Arthropoda, Insecta, Hymenoptera, Apidae.
UGUUAGCAAUGUUAACAUACGUUAACACGAACGUCCACCGGUAAUGCGUUGUGACGUUUCUAUUCGAUGGCUUCGAAUUGAUCAUACUUUUUUUUAUGAAUUUAGAUAUAAUAUUAAUAUAUCCUAGCAAAAAAUAUACGUAAAUAAGAAAAAUAUAUAUUAGAAAACUGUAAGAAUUCGCGCAGUAGCUGCGACAUGUCAAUUCACUUGAAUAACGGAUACAAGUUCUCUUCGUUUCAUGUACUCUGAAAAUGGGCGAUUCCAUUGGCAUUUUUGCAGUUUCUUGUCAAAAUUAACGAGUGAAAGGAAGAACUGACCUCGGCUGCUUUGAGGAGUUGUGCAUAGUUGAACUCAGGACAUGCCUUCUCGUUCGACUCUGGCAGGGUAAGUGUAAAGCGGAAGGAGGGCGCGAGCUGUUUGCCCUUUUCCCCUUUUUUCUCCUUUUUUGUGGCGUAGCCCAAGGACUCCGGAAACUCCAAGGUCUGCAAAGGUACCCUUUUAGCUUCUGACAUUCCUACAUUUGCACCGAACUCAACGCGGAUUAUGGAAACACUGCGAACACUGCGGUAACAACAUGGUCCUCUCUCUUAAACACCGCACCGACACCGCCACUCGCACGUCGCCAUCUUCGGCUCGACUGUUUUUAGAGUGCGCUGUUGAUGCCGCCGCCACACCGUAAAUUUAACGCAUGCGUCUGAAAUGCAAGUAGUCUUAAGCUACGUUUUCAUUAAAGAAUCGCAAUAUUUUACGUGAAAACAAGUUCAAUCAUUUCAAUAAAUUGGAAAUUAAAACUAAUUAAUCAAUUUUAAUGUUAUUAUAAUAAUAAGCAAUUUUUACUAAAGUAUAAGAUAAUUUAAUCAUUUUCUAUAUGGAUUAUAUUUCUCUAUUAAUUAAAAUAAAGGUAUGAUAAUUGUAUAUAUCAUUUAUUAUAAAAUUUCAAUUACAAAUUGAUAAAUCGCAAUUACGUCUAUAUAAUCUAAUUAUACUAAAUUAUGACUACAAAUAUUAUUUAUCCUGUCUAUAAUAAACAUUUCGUUUCAUAAUUUACAUUCCAAUGCCUGCAAUAGUAAAAUCAUGUCAGUUAUAUAAAUUAUAAAAUAAUCAUAUUAGAUAUGAAUAGUCAAAGUAUCUGAAAUACAUAAUUUCUAAAUAAAAUAAUAAAAUUUAAAAAAAUGCUAAAUAUAAUUUUAAUUAACUUAUUUGAUUAAUAAUAUUUGGAUUAUUUUCAAUAUUUUCUUGUUUUUUUGCAAUUUUAAUUGCUGAAAAUUGCUGACCUAAAAGUUUCAUUACUGCAGCAUGUCCUAUAUUACGUUCUUUUUUUACAGAAUUAUAGUUUUCUUUUACAUAAAGUGCAAAUGCUGAAGGUUCUCUUUUUGGUGUUUGCAUUUGUACAGUUCCAGAUUUUGUUGUUUUAUUUAAUAAUAACUCAAAUUUUCCAUAACAAUGUCCACAUCGUUUCUUUUCAAUAUCCAGAGAUUUGGAAUGUCUUCCAAUACUAUAAUAAAGUUUAAAAAAUUAAAUUAAUAUAUAUUUUAAAGUUGUUUACACACACAUACAUAUUUCAAAGCAUAAUUAUAUACAAAUUAUUGUACCUGUAUCCACAACUUAUACAUUUAUAUGUAAAUUUAGUCUUAAUUUUGUAAUCAUGACACCUUCUUAUUGGUGGUAAUUCAGGAAAUAUUUUCAUAGCUUUACUAGCCCUAAAAUACUACUAAUUAAAGUAAUUGUUAAAUAAAUACAAAAAUAAUAAAUACUUAAAAUAAUAUACCAUUUUGUCCAAAAUGGACCAUGUCCAUCAGAGAUUCCAUUUAUUAACCAUGCAGCUGCAUGACACAUUUCAUGAAUUAAAGUAUCUCUAAGUCUAUCUGGAGUAUCUAAAAUCUAUAUAUAAUUUUUUUAAUGCAUAUUUCAGUAAUUGUGUUUAAAAAAUAUAUAAAUAUACCUUUGUUGCUAGAACUAUUCGUGAUGAUUUUACAAUACCACCGAGUGUUUUUACUGAUUUCUUAUUAUAACAAAAACCAGCAGUUCCUCUCAUACGAACAUUCCAUUCUAUUGACAUAUCUUCUGGUAAUUCAUUAUCAAAUACUUUGUCAUUAUAUAGUUUGUACAAAUAUUUACAUAAAUUUUCCUUAUUAUUUUUAUAAUCUAAUCUAUAUUUUUUAGCAUCUGGAUGUAUAUUAGUAAGAGGAAUAUUUUCACUCAAAGAUGCUAAGAAGCUGUUAUGUUUUUUAUAGUUUGGAUUGUCAGAAAUUAAUUUAUUUUGUGUCUUUAAUUUAGGUAUAGUUUUAAUAAAAUCUAAAAAUAUACAUACAAUCUAGUAUAUAAAUCUUCAUAUAAUCUAUGCAUAUAAUAUCUAUGUAUUAUAUUUGUUAUAUAUACCUUUCUUAAUUGUAGAUUUUGGUGGUAUUUCAUCACCAGGGUCAAAUUCACUAGUGCUUGAAUCUUCACUUUCAUUAUUGAAUAACUUCCUUCCUCUUAUAUUAAAUAUUUGAUUACUGUUAUCUAUAUUAUCAUUAUCUUCAGAAUCUGUAUCACAUAUUUCAAUAGCUCUGAAAAAUAAAAUAAAAUAAAAUAAUUAUUAAAAA